UGAUCCUGGCUCAGAUUGAACGCUGGCGGUAACUUUUAAACAUGCAAGUCGAGCGGUAACAGACAUAAAGAUUCAGCUUGCUGAAUCCGGUGCUGACGAGCGGCGAACGGGUGAGUAACGCGUAGGAAUCUACCCAGUAGCGGGGGAUAGCCCGAGGAAACUCGGAUUAAUACCGCAUACGCCCUGAGGGGGAAAGGGGGCAAUUUAUUGCUCUCACUAUUGGAUGAGCCUGCGUAAGAUUAGCUUGUUGGUAGGGUAAUGGCCUACCAAGGCGACGAUCUUUAGCUGGUCUGAGAGGACGAUCAGCCACAUUGGGACUGAGACACGGCCCAGACAUCUACGGAUGGCAGCAGUUAAGAAUAUUGGACAAUGGGGGCAACCCUGAUCCAGGUAUACCGCGUGUGUGAAGAAGGCCCUAGGGUUGUAAAGCACUUUAAUCAGAGAAGAAGCAUUUUAAGUUAAUACCUUAAUUUGUUGACGUUAACUGAAGAAUAAGGACCGGCUAACUCCGUGCCAGCAGCCGCGGUAAUACGGAGGGUCCAAGCGUUAAUCGGAAUUACUGGGCGUAAAGCGCGCGUAGGCGGUUUAGCAAGUUGUAUGUGAAAGCCCUGGGCUCAACCUAGGAACUGCAUCCAAAACUACUAAGCUAGAGUACGAGAGAGGAGAGUAGAAUUUCUGGUGUAGCGGUGAAAUGCGUAGAUAUCAGAAGGAAUACCAAUGGCGAAGGCAGCUCUCUGGCUCGUCACUGACGCUGAGGUGCGAAAGCGUGGGUAGCAAACAGGAUUAGAUACCCUGGUAGUCCACGCCGUAAACGAUGACAACUAGCCGUUGGGCAGAUUUAACUGUUCAGUGGCACAGCUAACGCAUUAAGUUGUCCGCCUGGGGAGUACGGCCGCAAGGCUAAAACUCAAAUGAAUUGACGGGGGCCCGCACAAGUGGUGGAGCAUGUGGUUUAAUUCGAUGCAACGCGAAGAACCUUACCAAUCCUUGAAAUCUAGCGAAGUUCGCAGAGAUGUGAAUGUGCCUUCGGGAACGCUAUGACAGGUGUUGCAUGGCUGUCGUCAGCUCGUGUCGUGAGAUGUAUGGUUAAGUCCAGUAACGAGCGCAACCCCUAUCCUUAUUUGCCAGCGCGUAAUGGCGGGAACUAUAGGGAGACUGCCGGGUGAAACCCGGAGGAAGGCGGGGACGAGGUCAAGUCAUCAUGGCCCUUAUGGAUUGGGCUACACACGUGCUACAAUGGGAAGUACAGAGGGAUGCGAAAGCGCGAGCUGAAGCCAAACCCUUAAAACUUUUCUUAGUCCGGAUUGGAGUCUGCAACUCGACUCCAUGAAGUCGGAAUCACUAGUAAUCGCGAAUCAGAAUGUCGCGGUGAAUACGUUCUCGGGCCUUGUACACACCGCCCGUCACAUCAUGGAAGUGGGUUGCACCGGAAGUGGUUAGUCUAACCUUCGGGAAGACGAUCACCACGGUGUGAUUCAUGACUGGGAUGAAGUCGUAACAAGGUAACC
This 1508-nucleotide ribosomal RNA is filed under the name uncultured marine bacterium. RNAcentral describes it as "bacterial SSU rRNA". It matches the Rfam family "Bacterial small subunit ribosomal RNA". The record is from RNAcentral.